AGGAUUGUAGCUCAGUUGGUUAGAGCACCGCUCUGAUAAGGCGGGGGUCAGUGGUUCAAGUCCACUCAGUCCUACCA
RNAcentral lists this transfer RNA (77 nucleotides) under Christensenellaceae bacterium. Its description in RNAcentral is "tRNA-Ile". It matches the Rfam family "tRNA". From Rfam's summary of the family: Transfer RNA (tRNA) molecules are approximately 80 nucleotides in length. Their secondary structure includes four short double-helical elements and three loops (D, anti-codon, and T loops). Lineage: Bacteria; Bacillati; Bacillota; Clostridia; Christensenellales; Christensenellaceae. The record is from RNAcentral.